RNA transcript from Mauremys reevesii (Reeves's turtle), 5104 nucleotides. It is a transcript of the gene named DNA cross-link repair 1A, with no coding region annotated. The transcript has 11 exons. Lineage: Eukaryota; Metazoa; Chordata; Testudines; Geoemydidae. The record is from RefSeq and is a predicted model, not a curated record.
AUGGAAGCAACGUGAAAAACGCAAAGAUUAAAACGAUCUCGAAUAUUAUUACUGAGUCCCCCUUCCCUUUGGGAGAGGCGGAAAAGGGAGCAAUACGGUGGAAUGGAAUGUGCGGCAGCGGAUAGGGUGACGCUGCCCGAAGGGAGUGGAAGGUGUUGCAGACCCCCAGCCUUGGCCCGGAUGGGGGAUGUCUCCUCCCACUGGGUCAGUUUUCAGCCCCUCCCCUGAGGUGCUGGCCAUCUGAGCCCGGAGGUGCCUUUGAGGCAGAAGACUACAAGUGUGACAUGUGAGUGGACCAAAGGCAGGGCCUGAUCCAAGUCCCCUUAAAGUCAAUGGAAGAUUUGCUGCUAACUGCAGCAGGAGUUGGUUCUGCUCCAUAAAGCCACUCAGUCUGUCACUUCAUACUGCUUUUGUUCUGUGGGCAACCACAUACAUAGUAAAAUCUCAUUUGUUUUCAAGCUCUCACCUUUCAGGCCCACAAGGCCCUGAAAGGAAUCUCUGUCAGAUGUGGAUUUGCAACCUCUAACCUGGCUUUCCAGAUGCUGUGAUUAUCUACAGCGCUCCGGUGGAAGAACAGUAACUGCAGCAAAUGGCUCCUUCUACAAAUAAGUACAUCUAUGAUCCACUUUGAUUUGAUUUAACGAAAGCAUUAAAAUAUACAACCCUCCCCUGCGUUCUUUUAAAACUGGAGCUCAUGGCCUUUCAGAUCCAUCUGUGAUGGCUAUCCAGUUUGUGGCCCAAUGUAACAUUUCAAAUGGAGUUCAAGUGCCUUUCAGCUUCAGGUCUAGGGAAAUUAAUAAGGAAAAGCAUUAAAAGAACAAACCCCAGACUUAGGAACAUUGAAAUACUAUUGCGUAAAGCUGAGGAAAAUAUUUGAUGUGUUGCUAUUUUGCCAUGUCUGAAAAUGACGGGUUGGAAGAAGAUAUUUGGGAGUACAAAUCCAUUCGGAAACCAAAGUCAGUAUAUCAAAAUAAUAAUUCAGUGAACAUCUCUACAUCUGUGCAGAAAGCAAAUGAUGGGAAGUGCAAAUCAAAAGGAAGUAGAGGUGGGAAUAAUAAAAAAGCAUUUGAAAACAAGGACAAGUCUAAGAAAAAUGAACAGGGACCAAGACAGAAAUGUAUUCAACCACUUAUAAACCCUGACCAGAACUUAAAUCUGUCUAAAGAUGACCAUAUUGUGCAGUCCCAGGAAAGUGUAACUACGCCAACAAAGCAAAGCAGGACUUGUAACAAAAAACAAACCACACCAAAUGCAAGGCCAGUUUAUGAUGGAUACUGCCCAAGCUGCCAGAUGCCUUUCUCUUUACUGUUAGCCCAGACACCUCGGUGGCAUGUUACUGAAUGUUUGGACACUCAAGGAUCCACUGAAAAAGAGUGCCCUGAUGGUCUACUGUGCACUUCUACCAUUCCAUCGCACUACAAGCGCUAUACCCAUUUCAUACUUGCUACAAGCAGAGCAGGGGAUUAUCUUGUCAGCCCUGCAGCAUAUAGCCCAGAGAGAAAGUUCACAUGCUCUGAUGCUGCUAACUCAAGCUGUUUCUCAGGCCUUGUGGAUGGAACCUCACAGCAGGAGAAACUGACCAGGAAUGUAAGAAAUGCCCCAAAUGAGGAUCAUACAUUGGUGAUACAGAGUUCAACACAAGCAAAAUCUCCAAAUGUAACCAAGAUAAAUACUGUGUCUUCCACAAACAUUCUAAAGCCCCAACAGACACUUCUACUUACACAGUCUGCAGAUGAUAAUGGCCAACUUGAGUCUUUGGAUUUUCCAUUUUCUCAAGGAAGUGAAGCUAGUGGAGAUCUGGAUAGUCAGAAUGAUUCUAAUCAGUUAAAGCUGCUACUUCCAGAAGCUGACUUCAGUGACUGUGAAAUUUCCUACUCUCCGCUUAAUACUGAUGAGGAAAAUGAAGAGGAAACAGAGAAGGAGGAAGAGGAGGAGGAGAAGAAAAUAAAACAUUCACAAAAGAGAUUAUUUCACACCCAGAACUCUGAAGAUGAGAGCACGAAAAAGGAGGAAUCUAGCUGUAUGUUGUUUACUAAAUUAGAUUGUUCUCCACUUCAGCAAGUACACAGGUAUGGCUGCCUUAAAAUAGGUGGUUUCAUAAUACAAAACAAACCUUGUGAAGAAUUGAAUGGACUGAGUCAUUUAGAUGGUUGUGUUAAGCCUGUUUCUCAGGAGCACAUGAACAACAUGUUCUCUAAUUCAGGAAGUGCUGCUAAUCAGUUAAAACACCCACAAGGGGCACUAACAGCACAAUCCUCUCUUUCCCUUAAUUAUGAUAUAACGAAGAAGGAAUUUGAUUGGCCAACAUUCAGUGCCUCUGUUUCUAAUACAGGUAAUUUGGAGCUAGAAGAUUUUAAUGCUUGCCAUUUGGAUUAUGCAAACUUGGCUGUGAGUGAUUCAUCAUUGCCCUUGAAAGUCAAAGAAGAAGGUGGUAGAUCUUUUCUGUCAAGGCAAAGUGAAGUUUUGAAGAAACCUAGUAACUUCCUAAUCAAUAGAAAUAAAAUGUCCACUAACACAAGUGGAACUACAUUAUACCAGAAGAGUUCACAGCCAGUAAUAGAGGAAGAAGGAAGUCUUCCUAAUACAGCAGCCGUACCCCUUCCCAGUACGGUCUCUCCAACGCUGCCAUCUGUUUCUGUUGCAAAUAUGAAAGCCAAAUCUAUUUCAGCCAAAGAACUGAAACAAAUGGAUAUUGGUGUUUUCUUUGGGUUAAAACCCAAAACAAAAGAAGAGAACAAAGGAAAGAAACAUUUUGGUGAGGGAACACAAGCCUCAAGUCCUAUAACUCCCAAUGGAAAGAGGCCCAGACAACAAAAGAGGAAAGCUGAAGGAUCUGUGGGGGACAUAGAUGCGGUCACAGAAAGUUCAAAUAAAAAUGGAGUCUGUAUAGAUACAACAUCUGGUGUGAAGCGAAGUUGGAGAAAAAGAUUUAGAGAAUCAUCUUCUACAGAAGAAGGAAUAAAAAACAAAAAGUGUCCCUUUUAUAAGAAGAUACCAGGAACUGGUUUUACGGUUGAUGCAUUUCAGUAUGGAGAAAUCGAAGGCUGUGUAGCCUAUUUCCUCACUCAUUUCCAUUCCGAUCAUUAUACUGGCCUAACAAAAAAAUUUACAUUUCCAAUCUAUUGUAAUAAGAUAACUGGCAACUUGGUGAAGAGUAAACUUCGAGUGCAAGAACAGUAUGUCCAUACAUUGCCAAUGGAUACAGAGUGUAUAGUGAAUGGAAUCAAAGUGAUCUUGCUUGAUGCCAAUCAUUGUCCAGGUGCCACAAUGAUCCUUUUUUGCCUUCCCAAUGGAAAUGUCAUGCUACACACUGGGGACUUCAGGGCAAAUCCUUCUAUGGAGCAUUGUCCUCUUCUGAUCAGUCGAAAGAUUCACACCCUGUACUUGGAUACUACAUACUGCAGCCCUGAAUAUACUUUUCCUUCUCAACAAGAGGUUAUCCAGUUUGCUAUCAACACUGCCUUUGAGACAGUAACUCUAAACCCACGUACAUUGGUCGUCUGUGGAACCUAUUCCAUUGGAAAAGAAAAGGUCUUUCUAGCAAUUGCUCAGGUUCUGGGCUCUAAAGUGAGCAUGUCCCAAGAUAAAUACAAAACACUGCAGUGCUUGGAGUCAGCAGCGGUUAAUUCCCUCAUCACCAUGGACUGGAACAAUACUUUGCUUCACCUUCUUCCCAUGAUGCAAAUUAAUUUUAAGGGCCUGCAAAACCACUUAAACAAGUUCUCAGAGAAGUUUGACCAAGUUCUGGCUUUCAGGCCCACUGGAUGGACGUACUCCGAUUCAUGUCACACUCUGGCAGAUAUCAAACCUCAGACCAGGGGAAAGAUCACCAUAUAUGGGAUUCCUUACAGUGAACACAGCAGUUACCUAGAAAUGAAACGAUUUGUCCAGUGGCUGAAGCCACAGAAAAUCAUCCCCACUGUAAAUGUUGGUGACUGGAGAGCCAGAAACAUGAUGGAGAAGCAUUUUAGAGACUGGAAGAUGGAGCCUACUGAGCAGAGGGAAGAAUGUACGUUCCAAAGGACGUGUGCCGGGGGAGGGAUUGAACUACCCAGGACUUUUAUCUAGCCUUCCUUUUUCUAUGAAGCCUCUUUGAGAAGAAACAAGCUGCCAUUCUCCUGCAAGAGAGAGUAUGGUCAUAUUCUCCCCCAAAUAAAGGCCUUCACAAUUAAGAGGAAGUGAAUGUGAGGACAUGUUGCAAGGCCAGCCUAACGAGCCUUCUUCAUUCAGAAUGCCCAUUGAAGACACUGUGUGUUACACAUGUGCCCUGGGCAUGCAGGAUUGGUGCCAUACCCUGGGUCAUACAAACAUUUAUGUAUGUUUUUAAACAUGCAUUUGGUCCCACUGAAGUCAAUGAAACUUCUCAGGUGUUUAAAAUUAAGCCAUGUGCAUAUUUGCAGGAUCAGGUCCUAAGUCUGCACAUAUAGGCUGGUCUCUCCUCUGCCCCACAGAAAGCCAGGGAAGCAAAUACUAGGAGGUGACAAUAAUAAUAUAAGUUUUGCCUGCCAGGCUGUUUUCCUGAAUCCUGCACAGUGUUCAUGUAGUUUAAGAAGGUGACUGUGGGCUUUCACACGAGUAUUUAAUUUAAACAUCACAAUAAGAUUUAAUUUCAGGAUUCACUGCAUAUAUCUAGAAGAAACAAACAAAAAAAAAAGCAUCAUGUAUCAAAAAGAUCCAGAAAGGGGAAGUCUGUGGUGCAUUUUCUUGGGGAAAAUUUUUGUUUACUGAUCUUUUGUAAACAUAAUCAGACACUUUCCUAUAGUAGUGAGCUCUGUGUUUUUGAUGAGCAAAUAGUUGCAUAGUUCUCUGUCUCAGGGAAAUAAUAUCCCAUAAGUCUUUUUGUUGAAAAAAGAUCUUAUCUACAUUACAAAUUUUUCAGUUAGAAGCAAUUACAUUUAGAUGAACUGAAAUAUGGCAGUCAGUUACAUAAUUGUAUCUACAUUAAGUAGUUCAAAAAUCUGAGAUUCAGGUUUUUCUUUAACCACUGUUUAGCAUUCAGUAUUAAUCUCAAUUAAUUAUGAGAAUUUCUCUCAUCACAAGAGCUACUUAAUACCACUGAUUAGAAAAGCUUCGUACAGGUGUCAGUCCUUGGAUCAGGCCAGGC